Molecule: long non-coding RNA, 1190 nt
Organism: Gigantopelta aegis
Lineage: Eukaryota; Metazoa; Mollusca; Gastropoda; Neomphalida; Peltospiridae
Exons: 3
Source: RefSeq, a predicted model, not a curated record
GGCCUCCAAGAGGCACAAACUGGAGGCAUUGGCCAAGAGGCUUGGCUGUGAUGGUAAGAUAUUUGUUCCCUUGUAUUUUAUUUGGUCAAUGACAUUUAUUUGAUUUUGAUUUUAUUUUGGUAGUAAUUUAAGUUUUGAUUUAUGUUUUUUCUUCUACAGUGGCCAAGAUUGAGGGUUGGUUCCGAAAUCAGCGAACGGCUGUUGGGAAGCUGAUAAAGUGUACGAAGAGUGGAUCGGCGGCUCACAACAGGACAUCGAGACAGGAGUGGCAGUUGAAGUUGUUCACUUUUUUGCAGCAUUACAUCACACCCAGGACAUACAACACAGAGUCCACAGCGCUUGGGAAGGCCUCUUCAUCACACAAUGUACACAGCAAGUCCCGAGAGUGACAACGAAGAGUGCCCACAGUCCCCCGCCAGUUUAAGUGUGGCUUCAGGAGGCACCAGGCUGGACAAGCGGGCAAAGACCAAGCCACCUAGAAGAUGUGAUGCUGAAGUACUUUGAGCAGCCACUGCCCAGUCAGGACAUCUGCAAACAGUUGCAGACUCUUUCCAGACCAAUGGAUACCAAGGAGGCUUUCGGGCAGUACAUUACCCAGUACAUGCGCAAGAUUCCCGACAGCAGGUGGGACCAGUUCACCAUGGAUGCUCUGCAGCUGCUAAGUAGAUACUCCAGGCCUGAAGGGGACCAGUGACAGUCGCAGCAGUGGGGCCAGGUUCGCUACACGCAGCAGCAGCAGCAGUGGCCACUACCAGCAGUAUUGCAGCAGCUUUGGACACCGGCUCAGGCGCAGUUCCAUCCGCCAAUAGUGUCGGUGGCCUCUUGCACUAUAAUACACAUGCUUUGAAGAUUAAUUUAGGUAUCUAUAUGCUUAUGUAAUUAAUAUUAUAUAUGCUGAAUUUAAUGUAUAUUUCAGCUAACGACGCCCAGAAGUGAGAAUAUUGCAAGCCCAUCAUCGCUGUCAGGCCUUUGACAUGCUCGCUGAUAAGGACAACGACAUCCCGUUACCCCCUCCCACCACUCAGCAGGAGUAGGAGCAGGAUAGUAGCUCGGAGUCGGAGUCAUAGUGUGUUUCAGUGCUCAAACUGUUGGGCUAUUUAGUUGGAGUACUUGUGUUUUAUUAUUUGACUUUUGCAUUGUAAAUUAACAUAUACUCAUAUAAAAACAUCAAAUGAGAUGGUCAUGGUACA